UGGGGAAUAUUGGACAAUGGGCGAAAGCCUGAUCCAGCCAUGCCGCGUGAGUGAUGAAGGCCUUAGGGUUGUAAAACUCUUUCGCCGGGGAAGAUAAUGACGGUACCCGGAGAAGAAGCUCCGGCUAACUUCGUGCCAGCAGCCGCGGUAAUACGAAGGGAGCUAGCGUUGUUCGGAAUCACUGGGCGUAAAGCGCACGUAGGCGGAUAGUUAAGUCAGGGGUGAAAUCCCGGAGCUUAACUUCGGAACUGCCUUUGAUACUGGGUGUCUUGAGUGUGAGAGAGGUAUGUGGAACUCCGAGUGUAGAGGUGAAAUUCGUAGAUAUUCGGAAGAACACCAGUGGCGAAGGCGACAUACUGGCUCAUUACUGACGCUGAGGCUCGAAAGCGUGGGGAGCAAACAGGAUUAGAUACCCAAGUAGUCCCUGAGCGGGCUGGCAAGGCGCAU
RNAcentral lists this ribosomal RNA (447 nucleotides) under uncultured bacterium. Its description in RNAcentral is "bacterial SSU rRNA". It matches the Rfam family "Bacterial small subunit ribosomal RNA", at positions 355 to 825 of the family's 1533-position model. The record is from RNAcentral.